GCUUGUCUCAAAGAUUAAGCCAUGCAUGUCUAAGUAUAAACGAAUUUAUACUGUGAAACUGCGAAUGGCUCAUUACAUCAGUUAUAGUUUAUUUGAUGGUCCUUGCUACUUGGAUAACCGUAGUAAUUCUAGAGCUAAUACAUGCAUAAAACCCUAACUUCUGGAAAGGGUGUAUUUAUUAGGUACAGAACCAAUGCAAGCUCCGCUUGACCUUUUGGUGAUUCAUGGUAACCGAACGAAUCGCACGGCACCAGCUGGCGAUGGACCAUUUCAGUUUCUGACCUAUCAGCUUCCGACGGUAGGAUAUGGGCCUACCGUGGCAAUGACGGGUAACGGAGAAUUAGGGUUCGAUUCCGGAGAGGGAGCCUGAGAAACGGCUACCACAUCUAAGGAAGGCAGCAGG
This 403-nucleotide ribosomal RNA is filed under the name uncultured Gymnodinium. RNAcentral describes it as "partial small subunit ribosomal RNA". It matches the Rfam family "Eukaryotic small subunit ribosomal RNA", at positions 30 to 432 of the family's 1831-position model. Lineage: Eukaryota; Dinophyceae; Gymnodiniales. The record is from RNAcentral.